UUGAACGCUGGCGGCAUGCUUUACCCAUGCAAGUCGAACGGUAACAGGCCGCAAGGUGCUGACGAGUGGCGAACGGGUGAGUAAUGCAUCGGAACGUGCCCAGUCGUGGGGGAUAACUACUCGAAAGAGUAGCUAAUACCGCAUACGAUCUAUGGAUGAAAGCGGGGGACCGUAAGGCCUCGCGCGAUUGGUGCGGCCGAUGUCAGAUUAGGUAGUUGGUGGGGUAAAGGCUCACCAAGCCAACGAUCUGUAGCUGGUCUGAGAGGACGACCAGCCACACUGGGACUGAGACACGGCCCAGACUCCUACGGGAGGCAGCAGUGGGGAAUUUUGGACAAUGGGCGCAAGCCUGAUCCAGCAAUGCCGCGUGCAGGAAGAAGGCCUUCGGGUUGUAAACUGCUUUUGUACGGAACGAAACGGCUCUGGUUAAUACCCGGGGCUAAUGACGGUACCGGAAGAAUAAGCACCGGCUAACUACGUG
This 481-nucleotide ribosomal RNA is filed under the name uncultured bacterium. Its description in RNAcentral is "partial 16S ribosomal RNA". It matches the Rfam family "Bacterial small subunit ribosomal RNA", at positions 30 to 507 of the family's 1533-position model. The record is from RNAcentral.